AACGCACCUUGCACCCUCGGGUAUUCCCGAGGGUAUGUCUGUCUGAGUGUCAUUUGAACUCUCAAGGCCUCCUUCCCUCCGCAGGGUCGGGGCGCUUUGGAUCGUGGGCGCUUGCCGGCCUGGCCGGCUCGCCUCAAAUUGAAGGUGGCUGUCUCCUCUUGGAGCCUGUCAUCAGGUUUGACCCGGAGUGAUAGAAGUCUUUCGAGAUCUCUGGGGACUGCCUUAGGGCGGCCUAGGUCUAGGACUCUUUUGACGUUUUCGACCUCAGAUCAGGCAGGACUACCCGCUGAACUUAA
This 296-nucleotide unclassified non-coding RNA is filed under the name uncultured fungus. RNAcentral's name for it is "sequence contains ITS2". The stretch from base 1 to 52 matches the Rfam family "5.8S ribosomal RNA", at positions 103 to 154 of the family's 154-position model. Lineage: Eukaryota; Fungi. The record is from RNAcentral.